GUAGUCCAUUAGAUGAUCGCCCCGUCUCGAUUAUGAAUCGAUUACGGAGAGGAAAGUCCGGGCAACUUAGGACACGACAGUCGCUAACGGCGACCGGAGGUGACUCCAGGGAAAGUGCCACAGAAACAAGAAACUACCAUGGGGAAAAUAUUCUCCCAUUGGAAAAGGUGAAACGAGUGGGGUAAAAGCCCACAGCAAAUCAUGGUGACAUGAUUUGGAGGUAAACCCUGUCGGUUGCAAGGAGGCUCACAAAAAGAAUGGUCCGUUCUGAGCCGAUAACCCGCUUGACUUGAUGGGCAACCGUCGAGCUAGAUAGAUGAUCAUCCACGACAGAACCCGGCUUAUCGAUGGACUACCAAU
Molecule: RNase P RNA, 360 nt
Filed under: Candidatus Saccharimonadota bacterium
Lineage: Bacteria; Candidatus Saccharimonadota
Description: RNase P RNA component class A
Rfam family: Bacterial RNase P class A
About the family: Ribonuclease P (RNase P) is a ubiquitous endoribonuclease, found in archaea, bacteria and eukarya as well as chloroplasts and mitochondria. Its best characterised activity is the generation of mature 5'-ends of tRNAs by cleaving the 5'-leader elements of precursor-tRNAs. Cellular RNase Ps are ribonucleoproteins.
Source: RNAcentral